RNAcentral lists this ribosomal RNA (450 nucleotides) under uncultured bacterium. RNAcentral's name for it is "bacterial SSU rRNA". It matches the Rfam family "Bacterial small subunit ribosomal RNA", at positions 8 to 482 of the family's 1533-position model. The record is from RNAcentral.
AGAGUUUGAUCAUGGCUCAGGAUAAACGCUGGCGGUGUGCUUCAUGCAUGCAAGUCGCACGAUUUUGAUUUAUCAAAGUAGUGGCAAACGGGUGAGUAACACGUAAGUAACCUGCCCCUAAGUAUGGGAUAACGCUGAGAAAUCGGUGCUAAUACCACAUGUGGUGGUGGAGGUAAAGCUCCAUCACUAAAGCCGUAAGGCGCUUGGGGAGGGGCUUGCGCCUGAUUAGCUAGUUGGUAGGGUAACGGUCUACCAAGGCGAAGAUCAGUAGCUGGUCUGAGAGGACGGUCAGCCACACUGGGACUGAGACACGGCCCAGACUCCUACGGGAGGCAGCAGCAAGGAAUUUUGUGCAAUGGGCGAAAGCCUGACACAGCGACACCGCGUGGGGGAUGAAGGCUCUCGGGUUGUAAACCCCUUUUCUCAGGGAUGAAUAAUGACAGUACCUGA